RNAcentral lists this ribosomal RNA (120 nucleotides) under uncultured bacterium. RNAcentral's name for it is "partial 16S ribosomal RNA". It matches the Rfam family "Bacterial small subunit ribosomal RNA", at positions 28 to 148 of the family's 1533-position model. The record is from RNAcentral.
GACGAACGCUGGCGGCGGGCUUAACACAUGCAAGUCGAACGAGAAGCCCCCUUCGGGGGGUGGAAAGUGGCGCACGGGUGAGUAACGCGUAGGCAAUCUACCCUUAGCUGGGGGAUAACC